RNAcentral lists this unclassified non-coding RNA (274 nucleotides) under Hevea brasiliensis (rubber tree). The record is from RNAcentral. Lineage: Eukaryota; Viridiplantae; Streptophyta; Magnoliopsida; Malpighiales; Euphorbiaceae.
CAGACACAACUCUAUCAAAUCCUAGCAGCUCAUCCUCCUUCAACUGCUCAUCUUUCACAGUCUUUUCAACUUCAACUUCCUCACGCACAGAACUACCCAAAUCCACUAAAUUUUCAUUCAAUUCCGCUACUGUGGAACCCUUUCCAUUCUCAAUUGCCCUAUCAACACCAACAUCAACCAAAGAAGCCUUCUUGAUUCCAACAUUAUUCACAUCAGCAGAACCAAUUGUACUUGUACUACCACUGGCAUCCAAAUUCUCUGCUUUAAUGUCAUA